Molecule: ribosomal RNA, 718 nt
Filed under: Ochroma pyramidale (balsa)
Lineage: Eukaryota; Viridiplantae; Streptophyta; Magnoliopsida; Malvales; Malvaceae
Description: eukaryotic LSU rRNA
Rfam family: 5.8S ribosomal RNA (bases 318-472)
Source: RNAcentral
UAGUGACCUGCGGAAGGAUCAUUGUCGAAACCUGCCCGGCAGAACAACCCGUGAACGCGUUACUAAAAAUACAUCUUGAGGGGGCGCGGAUGCAUUCGUGCCCCUGGCCCCCUCAACGCCCCGUCGUGCGUGACCUCGCCUUGCCACGCCUCCAAGGUGGGUGAGAUGCCUGGUCUCGUCGCUCGUGGCUGAACAACCAACCCCCGGCGCGAAUCGCGCCAAGGAAUCAUAAUGAAAAAGAGCACGUAUGCUGUCGCCGCCCCGUUCGCGGUGUCCGUGCGGCAGCAGCGUGACUCCUUGUCGCGAAAAUAUAAAACGACUCUCGGCAACGGAUAUCUCGGCUCUCCAUCGAUGAAGAACGUAGCGAAAUGCGAUACUUGGUGUGAAUUGCAGAAUCCCGUGAACCAUCGAGUCUUUGAACGCAAGUUGCGCCCCAAGCCAUUAGGCUGAGGGCACGUCUGCCUGGGUGUCACGCAUCGUCGCCCCCUGUCAAAAACCCUCGGCCCCUUGGGCUCCGGUUGAAGCGGGGGCGGAAAUUGGCCUCCCGUGCGCUCCCUGCUCACGGUUGGCCUAAAAACGAGUCCUCGGCAGAGAUAGCGCCGUGACGAUCGGUGGUAAUGCUUCGAGCUGCCUCGUCUCCAGUCGCGUGUGCUUCUUGUUUGCCUGGACCCUUAAACCCUCUCWGCAUCCCACGGAUGAUGCUCGCAUCGCGACCCCA